This 77-nucleotide transfer RNA is filed under the name Mycolicibacterium senegalense. RNAcentral describes it as "tRNA-Gly". Lineage: Bacteria; Bacillati; Actinomycetota; Actinomycetes; Mycobacteriales; Mycobacteriaceae. RNAcentral also lists the same sequence under 1 other name. The record is from RNAcentral.
ACUCGCCGUGGAACCUGGCGUUCGGUGUGCUGCCGCCGUACUGGGCGGCCAAGGCGUUCUGGGUCGCCAGCGAGCAC